GCAUUUGGGAUAAAGGCAGAUCUG
This 24-nucleotide non-coding RNA is filed under the name Cricetulus griseus (Chinese hamster). The record is from RNAcentral. Lineage: Eukaryota; Metazoa; Chordata; Mammalia; Rodentia; Cricetidae.